AGUGAACGCUGGCGGUAGGCCUAACACAUGCAAGUCGAACGGCAGCACAGGAGAGCUUGCUCUCUGGGUGGCGAGUGGCGGACGGGUGAGGAAUACAUCGGAAUCUACUCUGUCGUGGGGGAUAACGUAGGGAAACUUACGCUAAUACCGCAUACGACCUACGGGUGAAAGCGGGGGACCUUCGGGCCUUGCGCGAUUGAAUGAGCCGAUGUCGGAUUAGCUAGUUGGCGGGGUAAAGGCCCACCAAGGCGACGAUCCGUAGCUGGUCUGAGAGGAUGAUCAGCCACACUGGAACUGAGACACGGUCCAGACUCCUACGGGAGGCAGCAGUGGGGAAUAUUGGACAAUGGGCGCAAGCCUGAUCCAGCCAUACCGCGUGGGUGAAGAAGGCCUUCGGGCUGUAAAGCCCUUUUGUUGGGAAAGAAAUCCAGCUGGCUAAUACCCGGUUGGGAUGACGGUACCCAAAGAAUAAGCACCGGCUAACUUCGUGCCAGCCGCCGCGGUAA
Molecule: ribosomal RNA, 506 nt
Filed under: uncultured bacterium
Lineage: Bacteria
Description: partial 16S ribosomal RNA
Rfam family: Bacterial small subunit ribosomal RNA
Source: RNAcentral